Long non-coding RNA from Zea mays, 182 nucleotides. RefSeq lists it as uncharacterized. The record is from RefSeq and is a predicted model, not a curated record. NCBI's taxonomy places the organism in Eukaryota, Viridiplantae, Streptophyta, Magnoliopsida, Poales, Poaceae. The transcript is spliced from 3 exons.
CAUCUGAAAUCAAGUUUAUAUCUACAAACAGAGCUAUUCAUCUUGAACCUAUUAAGGAUAGCUGGUACUCCAAUGUACUUUAUCUUGGGAAUGAGGAUGAAGUUCCAAUUCUAACUAUGACGUGCCCCGCAUCAGAUAUUGAGAGGUAUAAAUCUGGUGAGCUGCGUUUAGCACCUUCAUCU